Molecule: microRNA precursor, 249 nt
Filed under: Paramuricea clavata
Lineage: Eukaryota; Metazoa; Cnidaria; Anthozoa; Malacalcyonacea; Plexauridae
Source: RNAcentral
GACGUCGAUAUUCGACGCCAUAAACACGAUCAAAUUUGGUGUUUAUGACGUCGAUAUUUGACGUCAUAAACACGAUCAACUUUGGUGUUUAUGACGUCGAUAUUCGACGUCAUAAAAACGAUCAACUUUGGUGUUUAUGACGUCGAUAUUCGACGUCAUAAACACGAACAACUUUGGUGUUUAUGACGUCGAUAUUCGACGUCAUAAACACGAACAACUUUGGUGUUUAUGACGUCGAUAUUCGACGUC